RNAcentral lists this small RNA (19 nucleotides) under Arabidopsis thaliana (thale cress). Its description in RNAcentral is "ATSL247620". Lineage: Eukaryota; Viridiplantae; Streptophyta; Magnoliopsida; Brassicales; Brassicaceae. The record is from RNAcentral.
AUUUUUCUUUCUUCUUUUU